RNAcentral lists this ribosomal RNA (488 nucleotides) under Vibrio sp. PA21(2010). RNAcentral's name for it is "bacterial SSU rRNA". It matches the Rfam family "Bacterial small subunit ribosomal RNA", at positions 17 to 484 of the family's 1533-position model. Lineage: Bacteria; Pseudomonadati; Pseudomonadota; Gammaproteobacteria; Vibrionales; Vibrionaceae. The record is from RNAcentral.
UCAUGGCUCAGAUUGAACGCUGGCGGCAGGCCUAACACAUGCAAGUCGAGCGGAAACGAGUUAACUGAACCUUCGGGGAACGUUAACGGCGUCGAGCGGCGGACGGGUGAGUAAUGCCUAGGAAAUUGCCCUGAUGUGGGGGAUAACCAUUGGAAACGAUGGCUAAUACCGCAUAAUCUCUUCGGAGCAAAGAGGGGGACCUUCGGGCCUCUCGCGUCAGGAUAUGCCUAGGUGGGAUUAGCUAGUUGGUGAGGUAAUGGCUCACCAAGGCGACGAUCCCUAGCUGGUCUGAGAGGAUGAUCAGCCACACUGGAACUGAGACACGGUCCAGACUCCUACGGGAGGCAGCAGUGGGGAAUAUUGCACAAUGGGCGCAAGCCUGAUGCAGCCAUGCCGCGUGUAUGAAGAAGGCCUUCGGGUUGUAAAGUACUUUCAGCAGUGAGGAAGGUUCAUGCGUUAAUAGCGUAUGGAUUUGACGUUAGCUGCAG